AGAUUAAGCCAUGCAUGUCUCAGUGCAGCCGUCCAGUACGGUGAAACCGCGAAAGGCUCAGUAAAUCAGUUAUGGUUCCUUAGAUUGUACCCACGUUACUUGGAUAACUGUGGUAAUUCUAGAGCUAAUACAUGCCGACAGAGUUCCGACCAGCGCCGGACGCGCGGUUCGCCGUUGCUCCGGUGUUCGGAAGGAACGCUCAUAUUAGAUCAAAACCGGCCAAGCGGUCGUUCGCGUUUCGGCGCGUUCGGCCCGUAAGUGGCCCGCGCAAAGACUUGACGACUCUGAAUAUUUUCGAGCUGAUCGCACGGUCUUGUACCGGCGACGUAUCUUUCAAAUGUCUGCCUUAUCAACUGUCGACGGUAGGUUCGAUGCCUACCGUGGUGGUAACGGGUAACGGGGAAUCAGGGUUCGAUUCCGGAGAGGGAGCCUGAGAAACGGCUACCACAUCCAAGGAAGGCAGCAGGCGCGCAAAUUACCCACUCCCAGCUCGGGGAGGUAGUGACGAAAAAUAACGAUACGGGACUCAUCCGAGGCCCCGUAAUCGGAAUGAGUACACUUUAAAACCUUGGUCACACGAGGAUCAAU
This 588-nucleotide ribosomal RNA is filed under the name Icelococcus nothofagi. RNAcentral describes it as "bacterial SSU rRNA". It matches the Rfam family "Eukaryotic small subunit ribosomal RNA", at positions 41 to 548 of the family's 1831-position model. Lineage: Eukaryota; Metazoa; Arthropoda; Insecta; Hemiptera; Eriococcidae. The record is from RNAcentral.